GUGGUGAAUCUUGCGCAAUGGGCGAAAGCCUGACGCAGCCAUGCCGCGUGAAUGAUGAAGGUCUUAGGAUUGUAAAAUUCUUUCACCGGGGACGAUAAUGACGGUACCCGGAGAAGAAGCUCCGGCUAACUUCGUGCCAGCAGCCGCGGUAAUACGGAGGGUGCAAGCGUUAUCCGGAAUCACUGGGUUUAAAGGGUACGUAGGCGGUUAAUUAAGUCAGUAGUGAAAGACUGUCGCUCAACGACGGAUGUGCUAUUGAUACUGGUUAACUUGAAUCAGGUCAGAGUUGGCGGAAUGGGUCAUGUAGCGGUGAAAUGCUUAGAUAUGACUUGGAACACCGAUAGCGAAGGCAGCUGACUGAGCCUUGAUUGACGCUGAGGUACGAAAGUGUGGGUAGCGAACAGGAUUAGAUACCCCUGUAGUCC
This 425-nucleotide ribosomal RNA is filed under the name uncultured bacterium. RNAcentral's name for it is "bacterial SSU rRNA". It matches the Rfam family "Bacterial small subunit ribosomal RNA", at positions 354 to 796 of the family's 1533-position model. The record is from RNAcentral.